RNAcentral lists this ribosomal RNA (253 nucleotides) under uncultured bacterium. Its description in RNAcentral is "partial 16S ribosomal RNA". It matches the Rfam family "Bacterial small subunit ribosomal RNA", at positions 524 to 776 of the family's 1533-position model. The record is from RNAcentral. RNAcentral also lists the same sequence under 1 other name.
GACGUAGGGGGCGAGCGUUGUCCGGAAUUACUGGGCGUAAAGAGCACGUAGGCGGGAACUUAAGUCAGGUGUGAAAGACCGAGGCUCAACCUCGGGGUGGCACUUGAAACUGGGUUUCUUGAGGGCAGGAGAGGAAAGUAGAAUUCCUGGUGUAGCGGUGAAAUGCGUAGAAAUCAGGAGGAAUACCAGUGGCGAAGGCGACUUUCUGGACUGACCCUGACGCUGAGGUGCGAAAGCGUGGGUAGCAAACAGG